This is a regulatory RNA element of Lachnospiraceae bacterium 28-4, 165 nucleotides long. Lineage: Bacteria; Bacillati; Bacillota; Clostridia; Lachnospirales; Lachnospiraceae. The record is from Rfam.
UUGCUUUUCAUCAGCAAUUUCACUUAUGAAAUGGUCGAACCCCCAGGGAAUAAUUGCCAUGGAUGGCAAUUAUAGGAAAUGCAGGGCAUGGAUGCCCUUCAUUUCCGACCCGGCCAGUUUGACAAAAUUCCAUCCAUUUCAUUAGUGAAAUCUGAUGAAAAGAUC